This 253-nucleotide ribosomal RNA is filed under the name uncultured bacterium. RNAcentral describes it as "partial 16S ribosomal RNA". It matches the Rfam family "Bacterial small subunit ribosomal RNA", at positions 524 to 776 of the family's 1533-position model. The record is from RNAcentral.
UACGGAGGGGGUUAGCGUUGUUCGGAAUUACUGGGCGUAAAGCGCGCGUAGGCGGAUUAGAAAGUUGGGGGUGAAAUCCCGGGGCUCAACCCUAAAAUGUCGAUCGAUACUGGUAGUCUUGAGUUCGAGAGAGGUGAGUGGAAUUCCGAGUGUAGAGGUGAAAUUCGUAGAUAUUCGGAGGAACACCAGUGGCGAAGGCGGCUCACUGGCUCGAUACUGACGCUGAGGUGCGAAAGCGUGGGGAGCAAACAGG